Molecule: non-coding RNA, 31 nt
Filed under: Mus musculus (house mouse)
Lineage: Eukaryota; Metazoa; Chordata; Mammalia; Rodentia; Muridae
Source: RNAcentral
UGAAGACUCAUUUCCAAAGCAACGUUCGGUC